This 253-nucleotide ribosomal RNA is filed under the name uncultured bacterium. RNAcentral describes it as "partial 16S ribosomal RNA". It matches the Rfam family "Bacterial small subunit ribosomal RNA", at positions 524 to 776 of the family's 1533-position model. The record is from RNAcentral.
UACGUACGUGGCGAGCGUUAUCCGGAAUUACUGGGCGUAAAGCGUGCGUAGGCGGUUUAGUGUGUGGGAAUUGAAAGCCCGGGGCUCAACUCCGGAUCCGGUUCCCAAACUGCUAGACUCGAGCGUAUCAGAGGAGAGCGGAAUUCCCGGUGUAGCGGUAAUAUGCGUAGAUAUCGGGAGGAACACCAGUGGCGAAGGCGGCUCUCUGGGGUAUUGCUGACGCUGAGGCACGAAAGCCAGGGGAGCGAACGGG